This 255-nucleotide ribosomal RNA is filed under the name uncultured bacterium. RNAcentral's name for it is "partial 16S ribosomal RNA". It matches the Rfam family "Bacterial small subunit ribosomal RNA", at positions 524 to 776 of the family's 1533-position model. The record is from RNAcentral.
UACGAAGGGGGCGAGCGUUGUUCGGAAUCACUGGGCGUAAAGCGUGCGUAGGCGGCGAGGAAAGUUAGAAGUGAAAGCCCAGGGCUCAACCUUGGAAUUGCUUUUAAAAACUCCCUUGCUUGAAUCUCGGAGAGGAUAGCGGAAUUGUCAGUGUAGCAGUGAAAUGCGUAGAUAUUUGACAGGAACACCAGUGGCGUAAGCGGCUAUCUGGACGAGUAUUGACGCUGAGGCACGAAAGCGUGGGGAUCAAACAGG